Podarcis lilfordi (Lilford's wall lizard) is the source of this 10972-nucleotide non-coding RNA. NCBI's taxonomy places the organism in Eukaryota, Metazoa, Chordata, Lepidosauria, Squamata, Lacertidae. The record is from the annotation of a GenBank genome assembly.
UUCUGCUUUACUUGCCCCUUUUCAGGAAAUGACAACAGGAAAACCAUGCAUAAAUUGGAAGGUAUGGCAAGGCAGCCACAGUAGUUCUUGAGAGUUAGGUAAGUCAAGUCUUAGUUUUGGUGCAUAGGGUCAUCUAGUCUGUUCAUACCUGCCCUGAGGCUUGUCCCAACCAUAGCAUAAGGGCCAGUCCUACUAUUAGGCAGAGUGAGGAAGCUACAAGGCGGUGGUGCCCUUCAGCUCUUCCUCCUGAGUUCCCUGAGCAUACCCUUCUGCUGGAGAAUAGAGCUGUGUGUCAUGCACCUUGCCCUCCACCUUUGUAAUCUUACCAACCAUUUGCAAUGAACCUCAACAGUCAGAGGAUAUGGAUUAACAGGCUAUCUGCAACAUGGUUACUUAGCAAUACACAUUUACUUGCAUGUGAAUGAGAAACAGGAAAAAGCCCCCACAUCCAUUUAUGGAACUUUGAACACCAAAUAAUAAUAAUGAUUUUAUUAUUUAUACCUCGCCCAUCUGGCUGGGUUCCCCAGCCACUCUGGGUGGCUCCCAACAGAAUAUUAAAAACACAAUAAAACAUCAAACAUUAAAAACUUCCCCAUACAGGGCUGCCAUCCAAUGUCUUCUAAAAGUCAUAUAGUUGUUUAAUUCCUUGACAUCUGAUGGGAGGGCAUUCCACAGUGUGGGCGCCACUGCCGAGAAGGCCCUCUGCCUUGUUCCCUGUACCCUCCCUUCUCGCAAGGAGGGAACCGCCAGAAGGCCCUCAGUGUCCAGUUUAUUUUAUUCCACAUGAGUAAUUCUAUCUGAUUUUUUUUUGUGAUGUGUGUGUAUCUCGGUUAUUCUACAAUAUUGCUUGUAUGGUGCUGCCCUGGGCUCCUUUGGGAAAAACUGUGGGAUAUAAAUUUAGUAAAUGAAAUGUAGAAAUAAUAACUAAAUUCUGGUGAUUUCCAGAAUGCCCAUUAGCAACACAGUUUCCUCACCCUUAUCAAAAAAUGACAAUGCAAAGCCCGCUGGUAUCAACUGGGGACUUACCACCUUCUUUUCCACUGGAGUCUUUUGUGUGUUUGCAUAUUCCAUAUUGUUUCAGAAUCAAUUAAGGGGAAUAGUCAAUGAGCUGGUAGCUGCGGGCUGCGCUCACGCUGAAGAGGUUUGGCAAAAUGAUUUCGCCUGGGCUCUGACAGGAAAUGCAUGAGUCAUACUUUGAAGCCAAUUGCUUUACAAAUUUGCUCUUUGGCUGCACAUCAACACACUCGCUUGGGCCACGUUUCGCAAGAUGGACAGCUAUAAGCCACGUUGCCUGACAAAAGUGUCUAUAUAAGCAGUCGUUCUGAAGUGCUGAUUCUGUUAUUUGAUUUGAGGAUUAAACAUGCAGUUGCAAGCCAUCUGUUUCCCUGGGUUGACGUCCUUGAGAGGUUAGAUUUCUACAGAUAAUGCCUCAUAAAUGCAAGUGGUAUUUUGAGAGAUCGGAAUUAGCUGAGACAUAUGCCACUGAAAUUAUCUGCCUUAUCCUGGAGAACUGCUUACAUUUUGACAUCCCUGCCCAAACUGAAAAGAGAAGUUUACUCUCAUUGUUGCUGAUUUAGAACCCUGCUGCUUUCUGGCCAAAUGCCACGAGACUGAGACAGUACAUUUUCAGUUAGUACAUGAAAAGCUCUGCUAACUAUUCAAGCUGUGGCUCUCUUCAGGAUCUUCCUUCAAGUGAUGCCUGGGAACAGGAAAAAAUCCUUUCAGCUUCUAUUAUCAGAGCGGCCUCUCACGUUGGGCCAACAGGAACCAGAAGGUAGGUGAGAAGCUAUUGCCGCUGAGCACACUUGAAAUCAGAUGGAUUUCUCUCAGUGUAAUCCAGGGAUUGCCAACCUUUUGGGGACCGUUUGAAAAGCUGCUAUGGCCACCACUCGCACAUCCUGCAAAUGAGCACAGAUCUAUUACCUAUAGCAUAAUGAUUAUUUCAAGCCUAUUUUCAUUGAGUAGAGGACACCCUGUGGGUGCCAGGGAUGGCUUGUGUGGGCCCAUGUAUCCUUUAAUACAUACAUGUUUCAGUAUACUGGGGGUAGAAUCACUAUUUGCUAAUAACCAAGAAAGUUUAUUACCAGGGCCGAUUCUACCAUUGGGCAGAGUGAAGUGACCACAUCAGGGCAGGGAACUGCUGUGAGUUGUUGCAGGAUGGAGCUUUGUGACCACAUGCCCUGCUUUUCACCCUCUGAGUUGUCCUGCGUUGCACCUGGCAGCAGGGCAGCAGGCUUCCUCUCCUCAGUGUUGAAGAAAGGCUCAGCUUUCAACCCAGCCAGUCUUGGACAUGGAAUAGAAGAGGCAGCAAAGUGUAUUGGGCUGAUAGUUACAAAGGUUGCUUAGGGUGGACAUAAGCCUGUAGGCAGGGCUGACCCAAUAUAUUUUACUGCCUGAGAAGAAGCUGUCCUCACAGAGGAGGGUCUGGCACCUUCUGUGGGAGAAAUUCCCCCUGGGGGUUUAAAUACAAGGCUCAAACCAAUUUCCCAACCAGUCAGACUUUAUCCAGUAAUGCAUUGCAGGUCAGAGUUCGAAGAGUCUGCAAGAACAUUUGCAUUAGGACACACACUAUAUAGGCAAAAUAUGUCUUCUGCCACCCUGGCACAUCAGCAUCUCUCAACCAACCACAGUCCCUGAAAGACAACCCAUUUUUACUGCAUGCAUCAGAAGCUUCCUUGUACCUUAUGUGGAGUUGUUUUUCACUUUAACAUUCAAGCCGCUUAACAGGUUCUUACCAGGUUUGUGGUUGGGCCAUGCUGUUGCAUAUGAGACACUGGUCUUACUGAUAAGGAGUUUAACAGAAAUCCCAUGCCACUUCCCUGCAAAGCUUUUGUCACAUGCUGAAGAUGCACACACAUACCUACCCUUUUCUUCUGAUUGAAAAUUGGUUUUAAAUUAUUUUAAAAUUGUAUUUUUAUACUGUUGUAACCCACCCUGGGCCCUUAUGUUUAAUGGUGGGGAAAAUAAACAACAUAAAAUAAAAUUGGAUCCAAAGAGCUUUAAAGCUAAUAAUAAUAAUAAUAAUAAUAAUAAUAAUAAUAAUAAUUUAUUAUUUAUACCCCGCCCAUCUGGUUGGGUUUCCCCAGCCACUCCUCUGGGCAGCUUCCAACAAAAUAUUAAAAUGCAAUAAUCCAUCAAAUAUUAAAAACUUCCCUAAACAGGGCUGCCUUCAGAUGUCUUUUAAAAGUCUGGUAGUUGUUUUUCUCUUUGAUAUCUGGUGGGAGGACGUUCCACAGGGCGGGUGCCACUACCGAGAAGGCCCUCUGCCUGGUUCCCUGUAACUUGGCUUCUCGCAAUGAGGGAACCGCCAGAAGGCGCUUGGUGCUGGAUCUCAGUGUCCAGGCUGAACGAUGGGGGUGGAGAUAGUCCUUCAGCUAACACCUUGAACCUAGGAAACUGCCUUAUACUGAGUCAGACAAUUGAUCUACCUAGCGCCAUAUUGUCUACACCAGUGUUUCCCAACCUUUUUCUGACAGUGGCCCCCAUCCAACCUCGUUUCCUUCUUGUGGCCCCACCCCGUCCUGCCGAUAGAAAGGUAGCUAUUAAAAUGUUUUGUUUGUUAACAGAACAUGUCUUAUUUAUAAUUUUUAUAGUUUAUACAAAAUACAAUCACAUAAAAGGAUAGGAUCAUCAUGAAAUAUUGUUGAAGCAGAAAAACAUAGAAUCCUAGAGCUGGAAUGGUCAUCUUUCUAAUGCAACCCCCUGCAACGUAGGAAACUCAGCUAAAGCUAAUUGCUCCCUCCCCCAAUCUCUUGUUUGCUCAUCUUCCCUCUAGGUGGCUUCAUCAGGCGAGCGUUUGCUGCUCCCCCUCAGCUCCUUCCAGUGCCAUCCGUCUUCAUGGCCUUGUGCCGCUUGGCAUGUAGCACAAGCGCUGCUUUAACUGUCAGUCACCAUGAGCUACUCUCGGAAAGAGGCUUACCAGCUCAUAAACUGAAAGCAAUCCUAUUUACUGCCAUUUCUAGAUUCAUAGAUUGCUUGCAGCUUGUUACUGUUCUAGUAACACUUUCCCACCCCCCCACCCCCACCGUGGGCCAGACAUCUCAGGUACUUUCCGUUUUUCCUGACAAUAGUUAGGUAGUUCGAAUGGCCACAUGCAACCUGCAUUGUUUCAUCUUGUGUAAUGGGAUUGAAUUUAAGUGUGUGUUUGUGUGUGCAUAUAUAUAUAUACACACACACACACAUAGUCCGAUUGCCACACAAUACAUAGUGCAUAUUCGGGUCCAAAAUAAUUUUAAUGGUCAAAAUGGUGGUGUGUUACAGCUAGACUCCCCCCCCCCCUUUUGGAGGAAUGUUAAGGGAAUUUGUGGGGCUUAAAAAAAAAAAUCUAGAAAGGGUUAAUUGGCUUCCUUUAUAUUCCUCUCUCUGGUGACUUUUCUCAGUCAGCAUUAUUCAGUUCUGCUUCCACUCUGCAGACCGCUGAUGGUAGAUGUAUAUUCUGAAAAUAAACUUGAAUCUAUUAAAGUGGCUAACAUACAGUGAUGUCCCUGUUUUGUAAAUUGAGUUCAGGCAUAGGCUAUCUAUCUGUUUGGCAGCCGCAGAGGUGUCUUUUUUUGUUUGAAUUUUACUGUUUAAGAUUGCUGAGUUGCUUUUGAAGGUGGAGUGGGGUCAGGGUGGUAUCAGAUUCACACAUUACUGUCUUUACUAAAUUUAUAUGAAUGGCCUCCUCUGAAGAUUGAGGAACUUGAGACUAGCAUUUCUGAAGCUUUUCUGACUUUCAGGGAUAUGAUCGGGGUGGUGGCAGCAGGUGACGGGGCGGGUGGGGGGAGCUGAAGUUUGGGGGCAAAAUGAGGAAUUCUGUUUUGUUUUAGUUAUUCACCUAGAUUAAUUUAUGUCCUAUUUUCCCCCAGACUUAACGGACCUGACGCGUGUUACAAAGUACAGAUAGACAAUGAAAUCACAAUAAAACCAACGGUGAUCCAUAAAUAACACCCACACAUUAUCAGACCUUCAGCACAUUAAAAGAUAGUCCCAGCUAAGGGCACAUAAUUUCAUAUUUUUAUUUUUUAAAAGUUAAUUAUUUAUAAAGCGUCUCCAGUUUGAAUAUGUCAGUGGACUUUGUGUAAGGAUGCCCUCAAAGUUGCUUAAAAUUCCCAGUGUGUGUGUUUAAUAUAGUGUGCCUGAGGUUCUUAUUCCCACUUGGACUAUAUCAAGCCUAUCUCGGUAGCACAUUCAUCAUAGCAAUAGCUGCAAACUAAUUCUAAAGCAUUAAAGCAAAAUUGUAUGGCAUAAUAAAGGGGCAGUCCCCCCACCCCCAUUUUCUAUUAAAGUACUGAUGUUACAUCAGGGAGAAGAGUCAUCAUUCUUAAGAGAGAGUUUGCAUUUCCCAGGGCCUCAUGUUUGCCUGUCAGGCCAAUCCAACAUGUCUCAAACCAUCAUAAAACAUUGUAUGGCACAAGAAGCAGAUAGGACCAAGACACACCCCCAAGUCUCUUGAAACCCUGGAGCAGAGGCAGUUUUAGGGCAGCGUGACCAGUUUUCCCACACUGGGUGCUGAGUGGAGAGGGCACCUGGUAAGCACUUGCCUGGCUACAGGAAGGAGGUGUGAGGGCACUGAGAGGGUCGAGUUCUCCCUCCUUCUCUCCAAAAACUAGUUAGUGCUUGCUCAGCUUUGGGAAGAAGCAGGGUUUUUUCCCACCUGGAACUUAUCAGAACUCCAUUCUGGGACCUCUCAGGUGGGCACCAUUGCCAUUAUAAGAGAACAAGGGUGGUGUUCAUGGUGAGUUCCAGCAUCUCUUUUUCGGGGGGGGGGAGCACUGGGAAUGAGAAGGGAGGGCUCUAGGACCCUGCCAGAGCCUCGUACAUCUUUCCCAAAGACCAGCAUGGCACAAGGGUUGGAGGCACCAACUUUAGGCCCAGCUCAGGGCACCAAUAGUAGCAAAGUCCGCCCCUACCUGGAGGGCUCUUACCAGACAGGAUAGAUGAAUACAUGAUAUCAGAAAUAUACAGGUCUGAUUGAUUCAUUUUAUGAAAGUUUGCCUUCUAUUCCCCAACACUGGCAUAUAAGUGGGAGCCUUAGGCUGAAGGUUAUCAAGCACCAGUUCAUCUCUAUGACACCAUUCAAGGGUCACGGGGUGGUUUACUAUAUAAUAACACAAAAAUACAUACCAUAGUAAUGAACAAAAGCAAUUACUCCCCCACCCCAGUUUAGAUUAUUCAAGAAGCCAAAGGCCUGGGAAAAGAGGAUGUUUUUGCCUGGCACUUAAAGAUAUGUAAUGAAGGCACUAGCUGAACCUCCCUGGAGAGAGCAUUCCAUAAAUGAGGAGCCACUGCAGAAAAGGCCCGUUCUCAUGUUGCCACCCUAUGGACCUCACACAGAGGAAGUACAUGAAGAAGGGCCUCAGAAGAUGAUCUCAGGGUCCAGGUUGGUUCAUAUGGAGAGCGGCAGCCUCUGAGCUAUCGCAGUCCUGAGCCAUUUAAGGCUUUAUAGGUCAAAAGCAGCACUUAGAAUUGGACCCAGAAACUAAUUGGUAGCCAGUGCAGUUGGGACAGGAUUGGUGUUUCAUGCUCAAACCAUCUUGUCCUGGCGAGUGAACUGACCACUGAAUUCUGCACUAGCUGCAGUUUCUAAACUGUCUUCAGAAGCAGCCUCACAUAUAACAUAUUGCAGUAAUAUAACCUUCAAUGCAGUAUUUCAAUUAAUGUGACUAGUAAACACAAAUACCACUCAUACCCCAUUUACCUCCAUAGGACCUGCACCUGAAAAUCUCCUGAAAGCUGUGUAAUAUCUUUUUGCUUGAUACUCCACACACACACUUUUAUUUCUAAGUUUUGGAAAAGUAUUGGACAUGUGCUCAAAGUACAGGAGGACCCACAAGCUCAAGUUUGGUCCCAUUGUAACCAAAAUAUGCUCCCCACCCUGUAGCCUUUAAGCAUAGCUUCCAACUUUUCUGAUGUGAAAAAGAUGUGCAUAUUCUGGGACGCACUCCUGGGUGAGUCUUGUAAUCCAUGCCUCACUCUCCCCCCCCCCAUGUGCUUUUCGUGGGGCAAAAGUGAGGAACAUGAGCAUGAGAGAUUGCAGCACUCAAAAUGGCCACAGAAAUCUUGUGGGGGGGGGGACCACAAUGUCCUGUUUUUUCUGGGGCACUUGGAAGGUUGCUUUAAGGAUAGUAUCUAGGAGGGCUUUCUCAGAACAUAAAGGGACUGGGAUCCCUUAUAACUCAUGCUCUGGAUAUAAACCUAACACAAAAUGUGACUGCCCUAUAUGCUGUAGUACAUCCAUAUAGUCAUCUAAUGGUGGAGCGGAUGGGUUAUUCUUCCUCAGUUAUUCUUCCCUAAACGUGACUCAUAGUUUUUAAUCUAUAAACUAGAGAAAUGCCCUCCCACAUACUGAAAAGCCACUCCACUCACCGUGUCCUCUUAAAAAAAUAUGAAAAAAUGAAACGCCAGCCCUACUUUUUGCUCACCCCGGGCAACAAAAAUUUGGAGAAGUUGGAAUGAAAAACGAAUUCAGUGUCUCAUUGCUGGAAUCUUUCUUGAAGUGAAGUGGAAGCCUUCAUUCAUCGACCUAAUGAAUUGAAAAUCCUGCUGACCGGUUCCAUUUUGGUCAAGGGCCAGGAGCGGUGUGAGUCUGCUCUCCUUUUAUGCGUAUGCGUAUGUCCCAUUAAUGUUAAUGAGAAGGGUGUCUCGCUGUCACUAUGAAAACAUUUUUGCCUUUUCCUUUCUUCCCUUGAGCUCUCUGCCGGGCUCUUUUGUCAUUGAAAACCUAUUCCACCCCCUGUUCAUUGUGAUGGGGGAAUAAAGGGAAGGACAAAGCUUAAGAGCACGAAAGCAAUUUUUGGUUGGGUGUGGCUAUGUAUACGGCAUUGCCGCCUUCUGCCCAUCACUUCUCUAAACAGAAUCACAUAGCAACCCAGUUCCCCCCCAUCACACACACACAGACACAUACACUAGCUGCACCCCUGCUGCUCCCCACUUGCAUUCUCAUGGACAUUUGCUACCAAAUUGUGACACGAGGGCACAGAAAACCAAGCUGCUGUACUCUUGUGAAUGCUUCCAAGUUAAAACAUUCCUGGCCAGUUCAAUGGGAUUUAUACAGUGGUACCUUGGGUUACAUGGGACGUAGGUAGCGCUGCAGGUUAAACCACAGAGCCUAGGACUUGCCGAUCAGAAGGUCGGCGGUUCUAAUCUCUGUGACAGGGUGAGCUCCCGUUGCUCGGUCCCAGCUCCUGCCAACCUAGCAGUUCGAAAGCACGAAGUGCAAGUAGAUAAAUAGGUACUGCUCUGGCGGGAAGGUAAACGGCAUUUCCAUGCGCUGCUCUGGUUCGCCAGAAGCGGCUUAGUCAUGCUGGCCACAUGACCCGGAAGCUGUACGCUGUCUCCCUUGGCCAAUAAAGCGAGAUGAGCACCGCAACCCCAGAGUCGGCCACGACUGGACCUAAUGGUCUGGGGUCCCUUUACCUUGGGUUACAGACGCUUCAGGUUACAGAGACUUCAGGUUACAGAGGCUUCAGGUUACAGACUCCGCUAACCCAGAAAUAGUACCUCGGGUUAAGAACUUUGCUAAAGGAUGAGAACAAAAAUUGCGUGGCGGUGGCGUGGCGGCAGCGGGAGGCCCCAUUAGCUAAAGUGGUACUUCAGGUUAAGAACAGUUUCAGGUUAAAAAUGGACCUGCAGAACGAAUUAAGUUCUUAACCCGAGGUACCACUUUAUAAAGCUCUUACUAGUGUUGUAGGUUCUGUACAAAGACUGCAUACACACCAUACAUUUAAAACACUUUAUCCCCCACCCCCCAAAAAAUCCUGGGAACUAUAGUUAUCCUUUACAGAGCCACAUUUCCCAGCACCCUUAACAAACUGCAGUUCCACAUAGGGUGUUUACACAGCCAAAGGUUAGCAAACAGCAUAGGCUGUGCUCAUUGGGCUUACAAUCUAACAGAGCCAAUAUAAAAGCUUCUGGCAGCAGGACGCUCCCUUACGCUGAAGCCAGUGUUAGAAACUCUCAGCUCCCAAACGCCUUAGGCGUCGAACAUUCUGGCUCCUGAACGAUUGAAAAGCGGAAGCGAGUGUUCUGGUUUUCAAACAUUCUUUUGGAAGCCAAACAUCUGACGGGGCUUCCACGGCUUCCGAUUGGCUGCAGGAAGCUCCUGCAGCCAAUCGGAAGCCGCCCUUUGGUUUCCAAACAUUUCAGAAGUCAGACAGACUUUCAGAAUGGAUUCCAUGAGACUUCCGAGGUACGACUGUAUAAGCCAUGCACCAAAUGGCUCCUUAAACCAGGGUUACAGUUGCCAAAACGGAAUGCCUUAGGCCAGACAGCUCUAAAGUUGUAUUUUUUAAUAUGGCUUUCUGGUUCCUGAAAUUCAAUCUGGUUGUGCAGACAAAAUAUAAUGUAUAGAAUUCUACAGGAUGUGGUGCUAGUGGGUGAAUACAGUCAAGAUCUCUAGGCGUGCACCUCCAAAUGGUGGAGACAUUAGGCGCUAUCCUGGCACCCAGGCAUGUACACUUGGUCGCAAGUGGCCGAUAGCCUGUUGCAAAAUGCACCAUGCAAAUUUCAAAUGCUGAUUGGAGCCCCUUCCAUGCACAAAGGACCCUUGCUCUUUGUGGAAGGGCAACUCACAAUCCAAUCCACUGUGUAGUUCUACUCCUCGGCACGCCCUGUUGCUCAGUUUUAUCCCCACCGACUGCAGUAUGACAAGAAUGACAACUGCCAGCUUUAAAUGGUUGCGACGAGGAUUUUGAGAUGGUACAUAUGAACAGAAGAAACCUUGGUAUGAAGCGGUAUAUAAAUGUAAGGCAUAACUAAACAACGAACAUUCUAAAGCCCCUUAGCCAUGUUAGGGACAAGAAUUAUUACAAUUACUGCGUGUAACCCAAACCAGACUGGUUCUCCUUUAAAUAAAUUAAUAUGUCUCAUCGCAUUUGAAAAUUAUGAAAACCGGUAAGGUACGUUGCUGGCGUCAGUCUGCCUUAGGAGACAAUGGAAGAGGGCACCUUUGGGGGAUGUAGUCAAACUGUUGGAGAGUUACAGCGCCUGCUGUGGUAUGUUGUGCCAAUAUACAGUAAUUAAAAAGUUAUACGGCUUAAUUUCAUUUUCACUGCCUAGUCUGUGAUCAAAACUUUGCAAAUACAGUAUAUUAAACACACAUCUACAGUAUGUGCUGUUUAUUGGGCACCGCAUUGAUAUAAUUGCAAGGCAUGUGUCCACACACACCUAGAUUUUGAAUGGAAGUAUGAAUAUUAUUAAGAUAUGUCCUCUACUUCCUUGCAUGUACUUUAAUUCCCCCCCCCUCCUUUAACUGCAAGGAGAAGCCAUCAUAAAGGAAUCCCUGCCUUGCUCUGGGUAUAAUAGAAGGUGCCUUCAUGUUCUAACACCUUGCCAGUUGGAGAACUAAAAUAAACCUAAAGGAAGAAAAGCUCCAUUUACCACAGAAACCCCUAGUGAGAUCGAAACUGUAGUUCAUUUCUUCCAAUAAUAAUAAAAAAGACACAUCAGUGCCCUUCUUACUGGCAACUUUUUCUCUCUCCCUUUGCCAUUGGAAGGCAGAAUAAGGGAGGCAAAGCAGUAUAUUUAAUUGUAACCUGCUAUCUUAGAGUUUUCUACUCUCCUGCUUGCUUUAGCUUAGCGGGACAUCCUGCUCUAUUUUAUCCGACUAACAAGGACCAUGAGUAAAGCAGCUAGAGCUAGGGGUUAAAUUUCUACCUUAAAAAAAAAGAAGAAGAAACCUCCUUCAAUGUAUUCCAUGAAGGAUAGCAAUAUGGGAUGCUACUUGACCUUCUCAUUGUUCUAUAAUUUGAUUGGCUGGAUGCUGUUUGUGCUCUUUUCCCAGUCUCAGCAUCUUGCAGUGCGAAGGAGGGAGAGGCGCUUAGACAAUGACCAAGCCCAAUGCAGGAGAUUUUGCACAGAGCUAGAAAAAGAAGGAAAACCCUCCAUAUAUCUUGAAACAAUGAGUUGUUCCUUGAUAAAACAAGGAAAGUGUUGAUAGCCCUCCACUUAAGAAUGAGAGGACACUUGGGCGAAAUUAAAGAGAAGAUCUAGC